Molecule: non-coding RNA, 117 nt
Organism: Clostridiales bacterium
Lineage: Bacteria; Bacillati; Bacillota; Clostridia; Eubacteriales
Source: Rfam
GAAAACAAAGAGGGGUGCUGGUCUUCAAUCCAUACCGGCUGAGAUGGAACUUCGGUUUCCGAACCCUGAUACCUGAUCUGGAUAAUGCCAGCGUAGGAAGUGCUCAGACCAUGUCUG